Pseudoliparis swirei is the source of this 1251-nucleotide RNA transcript. It is a transcript of the gene named RING finger protein 212B-like, with no coding region annotated. The record is from RefSeq and is a predicted model, not a curated record. The transcript is spliced from 15 exons. Lineage: Eukaryota; Metazoa; Chordata; Actinopteri; Perciformes; Liparidae.
CGUUCCGAAAUCGAUGCGGUCACCAUUUCAACUAACUCUUACUUUUGAGCACAUUGACCCAUAAUGUGGGCAAGAUAACCGACACGGAACCCCACAGGACUACAAAUGGACUGGUUCCACUGUAACCAGUGCUUUACAAGGAGCGGGUCGAGGUUCGCCGUGUCCAGCUGUGGCCACAUCUGCUGUGAAGCAUGCAUUAAAUCUAAGCAGUGCAGUGUAUGCGGGGCCAGCUGCAGCUACUUGCCCAUCACAGAUGAGAUGAAGCCACAGGAAAAGGUGUUUUUCAAGGAUCCCAUGAAGCUCAUCCAGUCACGGCUGGACCACAUUUCACAGAUUGCCCUUUUUCAGCGGACGCAGACGGAGAGAGUCACGACGCACUUCAAGCACAAGUCUGUUGAGCUGGAGAGGCGUCUGAAGGAAGUCACUGAGCAGGGUUACAGGCAACUCUCUGAGCUGAAAAGAGAGAACGUUGACUUAAAAAAGCAGCUUUCCGAGCUGAAAAGAGAGACUGCUGAUUUGAAAAAGCCACUUUCUCAGCGACGGGUUUCUCCAGGACAGUUUAAUAUUAAUGGAACUCAACGGAUGUCACUCCCUGUGGGUGUCACCUCUCCAGUUACCCCUCGUUCAAGAACCAUGAGUUACAUUGGCUCAGCCGAGUCUCAAGGGUUGGCCAGAGACCGAGGUCCCAGUCUGUCCACCCUCACAACUCCUGGAUCAGCCACCUCGAUGUCGAGCCACAGUUCUCUUCAUGAAUAUGUCCACACUCUUCAGGUUUCUUCAUGAACCCACAACUGGAAAGAGAAGACUCCAAAAUACUGAAUCUGAAACCAAGAUUAAAGAUUUACAAAGACAACUGCAGCAGAGCCACGAGGACGCGGAUCGAGAGGGGAGGACCACAGGAGGCAGCACGGGCACAGCAAUGUUGAAACUGAGUGAAGUGGAAGAUAAGACGAUCCAUCCCAGCAGGGUGAUCUUGGAUCCAAACACAGCGCACCAGAGAAGAGCUCCGUCUGCAGAGAACAGCGAGAUAUCCACUUCUGUGGAAAUACGAGCCGGCCUCCACCAUCCAGGCCGGUUUCAUGUGAAUCUCUCCGUCCUGGGCACAAUCGGCUUCUCCUCUGGCAGACGUUACUGGGAGGUGCCGAGAGGCUUUGUUACCGCCUCGGGGGACGGCCAGCCAAUCUUCUCAAAGAAAGGGAGCGAACAACAUUCAAUCCGACGGUUCUGAACAAACGGGGUCAGCACACAGCA